Molecule: long non-coding RNA, 749 nt
Organism: Carassius auratus (goldfish)
Lineage: Eukaryota; Metazoa; Chordata; Actinopteri; Cypriniformes; Cyprinidae
Exons: 4
Source: RefSeq, a predicted model, not a curated record
CAAUUAAUAUGUAAUGAUAAUAAAUGUAUAAACUAUUAAAUAGACAUGAACCAGUGUUUCUUCAGAGAUAAAGCUCUGUUCGUAGUGAUCUGGAAUCUGGCUUUGGGAGAGGAAGCCGUGGCCAACCUGCAGUCGUGGCUGCUCAACAUCCAGGCUCGUGCUCCUAACUCUGCUGUCAUCGUCGUCGGGACGCAUCUGGACCUCAUAGACACUAGUUUGGUACGGAGCGCGUGGCCACGCUGAGGGCCUACAUCCUGGCACUCUGCAGAACCAGCGGAUCCCCCGACAUCACACUCAAACACCUCCAUGAGCUGUCGUGUAAGACGCUGGAAGGCAUGGACGUGCUCAAGAGGCGGUUGUUUCAGCUCGGCUGCUCCAUGAGGGACAUCAGCAACCCUGCUAGCUGUCACAGAUUCUGGGAAGACUGAUCCCCAAAAGUUAGCUGACCCUGCAGGAGGCCAUAAAAGCAGAGCGUGUGAGGAGAGACGAAGCCGACGAGGUCCAGUACCUGACGGACUCUGAACUGGAGCACAUCAUUGAGCAGAGUCCGGCCAGUGAUAGCAAAGAUUAGCAGGAUCUGCAGACGGGUAAUGCACAAAGAAAAAUUCAUGUCUAUUCAGAAAUGCUAUCAAUUCAUAUUUGUUUAUGUUUAUUAAAUAUUGAAAAAAUAUAUGGUUAUUUUUAAGAUGCAUAUUUUUAUAUUUCUGUUCUGAAUUAACUAACAUAUAUUUAUUUAGUCAUUUAUUCAA